UACGUAGGGUGCGAGCGUUGCCCGGAUUUAUUGGGCGUAAAGGGCGCGUAGGCGGCUCGGCACGUCCGUUGUGAAAUCGCCCGGCUCAACUGGGCGGGGUCGGCGGAUACGGCCGAGCUGGAGCAAGCUAGGGGGUAAUGGAAUUCCCGGUGUAGUGGUGGAAUGCGUAGAUAUCGGGAGGAACCCCAGUGGCGAAGGCGGUUACCUGGAGCUUUGCUGACGCUGAUGCGCGAAAGCGUGGGGAGCGAUCCGG
This 253-nucleotide ribosomal RNA is filed under the name uncultured bacterium. Its description in RNAcentral is "partial 16S ribosomal RNA". It matches the Rfam family "Bacterial small subunit ribosomal RNA", at positions 524 to 776 of the family's 1533-position model. The record is from RNAcentral.